UACGUAGGGUGCAAGCGUUGUCCGGAAUUAUUGGGCGUAAAGAGCUCGUAGGCGGUUUGUUGCGUCGGCUGUGAAAUCCCGAGGCUCAACCUCGGGUCUGCAGUCGAUACGAGCAAACUAGAGUGUUGCAGGGGAGACUGGAAUUCCUGGUGUAGCGGUGAAAUGCGCAGAUAUCAGGAGGAACACCGGUGGCGAAGGCGGUGGUCUGGGCCGGCACUGACGCUGAGGAGCGAAAGCGUGGGGAGCAAACAGG
Molecule: ribosomal RNA, 253 nt
Filed under: uncultured bacterium
Lineage: Bacteria
Description: partial 16S ribosomal RNA
Rfam family: Bacterial small subunit ribosomal RNA
Source: RNAcentral